Molecule: ribosomal RNA, 444 nt
Filed under: uncultured Leptolinea sp.
Lineage: Bacteria; Bacillati; Chloroflexota; Anaerolineae; Anaerolineales; Anaerolineaceae
Description: bacterial SSU rRNA
Rfam family: Bacterial small subunit ribosomal RNA
Source: RNAcentral
ACAAGCAGCGGAGCGUGUGGUUUAAUUCGAUGCUACACGAAGAACCUUACCUGGAUUUGACAUGCACGUAGUAGUGAACCGAAAGGUGACCGACCCUUCGGGGAGCUUGCACAGGUGCUGCAUGGCUGUCGUCAGCUCGUGUCGUGAGAUGUUCGGUUAAGUCCGCUAACGAGCGCAACCCUCACUGUGUGUUAUAUGUGUCACACGGGACCGCCGGUCUUAAGCCGGAGGAAGGUGGGGAUGACGUCAAGUCAGCAUGGCCUUUAUAUCCUGGGCUACACACACGCUACAAUGGCCAACACAAUAGGUCGCUAAGCCGCGAGGUGGAGCCAAUCCAUAAAGUUGGUCUCAGUUCAGAUUGCAGGCUGCAACCCGCCUGCAUGAAGAUGGAGUUGCUAGUAACCGCAGGUCAGCUAUACUGCGGUGAAUACGUUCCCGGGGCUU